AGGAUGGACAUCAGCCGGCUGUGGUGGC
RNAcentral lists this non-coding RNA (28 nucleotides) under Homo sapiens (human). The record is from RNAcentral. Lineage: Eukaryota; Metazoa; Chordata; Mammalia; Primates; Hominidae.